AAAAUGAUGACAGUUCAUGUUUGUAGAAUAAUAAGGACUAUAUUGUUUGAGUAUAUAUAAAUUUAAAGUGUGUAUCAUGCUAUUUGAAAACAGAAUAUUUUGUUAUGCAUCCAGCCACUUGGCAACCAUAAGAGUGGAGUCCUAAAACGUAGAGGCUAGCAUGUUCUUAAGGUGAAUGUGGAAAUAUAGAGGUCCUUCUACAAAGAUAGCUUAAAAUAAUAUGACUAUUUGUCAUAAUUUCAAAUAUUUAAUGUUGUGGUACACAGCAAACAGUAAGAGUGAAGUUAAGAGGAAGUGUGAAUAACAACUUCAGUGCUGUUACAUGUAGACCCUCCAAACCCUAAACACUGA
This is a non-coding RNA of Pelobates cultripes (western spadefoot toad), 351 nucleotides long. The record is from the annotation of a GenBank genome assembly. NCBI's taxonomy places the organism in Eukaryota, Metazoa, Chordata, Amphibia, Anura, Pelobatidae.